GAUGGGAGCUUGCUCCCUGAUGUUAGCGGCGGACGGGUGAGUAACACGUGGGCAACCUGCCUGUAAGACUGGGAUAACUCCGGGAAACCGGGGCUAAUACCGGAUAACCCGUUUCACCUCAUGGUGGAGCGGUAAAAGAUGGCCUCUCGCUAUCACUUACAGAUGGGCCCGCGGCGCAUUAGCUAGUUGGUAAGGUAACGGCUUACCAAGGCGACGAUGCGUAGCCGACCUGAGAGGGUGAUCGGCCACACUGGGACUGAGACACGGCCCAGACUCCUACGGGAGGCAGCAGUAGGGAAUCUUCCGCAAUGGACGAAAGUCUGACGGAGCAACGCCGCGUGAGUGAUGAAGGUUUUCGGAUCGUAAAGCUCUGUUGUUAGGGAAGAACAAGUGCCGUUUGAAUAAGGCGGCACCUUGACGGUACCUAACCAGAAAGCCACGGCUAACUACGUGCCAGCAGCCGCGGUAAUACGUAGGUGGCAAGCGUUGUCCGGAAUUAUUGGGCGUAAAGCGCGCGCAGGCGGUCUCUUAAGUCUGAUGUGAAAGCCCACGGCUCAACCGUGGAGGGUCAUUGGAAACUGGGAGACUUGAGUACAGAAGAGGAGAGUGGAAUUCCACGUGUAGCGGUGAAAUGCGUAGAUAUGUGGAGGAACACCAGUGGCGAAGGCGACUCUCUGGUCUGUAACUGACGCUGAGGCGCGAAAGCGUGGGGAGCAAACAGGAUUAGAUACCCUGGUAGUCCACGCCGUAACGAUGAGUGCUAGGUGUUAGGGGUUUCGAUGCCCUUAGUGCCGAAGUUAACACAUUAAGCACUCCGCCUGGGGAGUACGACCGCAAGGUUGAACUCAAGGAAUUUGACGGGGGCCCGCACA
This 872-nucleotide ribosomal RNA is filed under the name Bacillus sp. (in: firmicutes). RNAcentral describes it as "bacterial SSU rRNA". It matches the Rfam family "Bacterial small subunit ribosomal RNA", at positions 71 to 927 of the family's 1533-position model. Lineage: Bacteria; Bacillati; Bacillota; Bacilli; Caryophanales; Bacillaceae. The record is from RNAcentral.